CUCUCUGUCUCUGUCUUUCAGUCAUGCUGCUGCUCAGGUCAAGGCUCUCGCAAAGAUCCACGCCUUCAUUCGAGAUCCGAACUUGAAUGAGACCCGGCAGGCAGAAAUCCGUAAGGAGUGUCUGAGACUCUGGGGGAUCCCAGACAAGGCUCGCGUUACCCCGAGUACCAUGGACCCCAAGAGCAAGUUCUCCGAACUGAUGCAGGGCACCGACAUGGAGACGUUUGGCUAUAAGCCCACCCUGCUGUCUGCACAGGUCAUUGAGAAGAUCAGCCAUGUGUUAGACUAUCGCUGUAUGGUGGCUGGGGGUCAGCAAUACUUCCUCCUUGGCAUGGGUGUAAGUUGCUGCGAGUCUCUGAAAGGUCAGCUGUACAGCAGCUGCUGGAGUUUCCACACCACUACAUUAGCGGCUCUCUGAAACAUUCUGGGGACACCUUAUUCUCUGGUGUUCCCUUCUGAAAGGAUCAGUGCUCAGGGACAACACCAGGAUUCUCGGUCUGUAGAAUGGUCUGCCAGGUUUGACUGAACGAUGCUGGCAACUGCAAGAUGAUGAGGUCACUGACUGUUGCAUCAUGGUACAUGGCACCAUUAACAACGCAGUCUGUUAGAUCUGCCCAAGUUCACAAUGCACAGAUCGGGUUUUAGUACUCGUCAGGCACAGCUCGGCUCGAGAGACAGGGGAGUCACUAUCAGCCGUUCGUCCAAAACUCAAACUGUCCCCCCGUCCCCCCCCGUUCCCCCCCC
Chiloscyllium plagiosum (whitespotted bambooshark) is the source of this 744-nucleotide non-coding RNA. The record is from RefSeq and is a predicted model, not a curated record. Lineage: Eukaryota; Metazoa; Chordata; Chondrichthyes; Orectolobiformes; Hemiscylliidae.